UACAGAGGUCCCAAGCGUUGUUCGGAUUCACUGGGCGUAAAGGGUGCGUAGGUGGUGAGGUAAGUCGGAUGUGAAAGCUCGGAGCUCAACUCCGAAAUGGCAUUGGAAACUACCUUGCUCGAGGGUUGGAGGGGGGACUGGAAUGCUUGGUGUAGCAGUGAAAUGCGUAGAGAUGUGGAGGAAUACCGAUGGCGAAGGCAGCCUCCUGGGCCAACACUGACGCUCAUGCACGAAAGCGUGGGGAGCAAACAGG
Molecule: ribosomal RNA, 253 nt
Filed under: uncultured bacterium
Lineage: Bacteria
Description: partial 16S ribosomal RNA
Rfam family: Bacterial small subunit ribosomal RNA
Source: RNAcentral